This 280-nucleotide unclassified non-coding RNA is filed under the name Hevea brasiliensis (rubber tree). The record is from RNAcentral. Lineage: Eukaryota; Viridiplantae; Streptophyta; Magnoliopsida; Malpighiales; Euphorbiaceae.
AGGAUGCAUUAUUAUCAUGGAGAUCAUCUAUAAAAUGGACUUUUCUCUACUGGGGUUCAUUAUUUACUCGCUAAUUUUGGGUAUUGGUAUGUGCUGAAUUUCUUUUAUUGUUUUCUAUUUGUGGCUAUGUUUUUAGGUGUCUCUAUUAGUGUGCUAUUUCUGCAUUUACAAGAAAUUGAUCACUCAUUAAUACAAAAAGAAGCCUCUUUGUUUCUUCUGGUCAGACUGGUGGUCGUUAUCUAGGAGGGGCCAGGAACCUCUUUAACACAUACUGCAUACA